AACAUUCUCAGCCUGUGGGCAGGCAGUUUUGAUCUGCCUCAGGUACUCGGCGUGCCGUCCCUGACACAGUUCCAGGCUCUGAGUAUUC
Molecule: non-coding RNA, 88 nt
Organism: Fonsecaea monophora
Lineage: Eukaryota; Fungi; Ascomycota; Eurotiomycetes; Chaetothyriales; Herpotrichiellaceae
Source: the annotation of a RefSeq genome assembly